UACGUAGGGACCAAGCGUUGUUCGGAUUUACUGGGCGUAAAGGGCGCGUAGGCGGCGUGGUAAGUCACUCGUGAAAUCUCUGAGCUCAACUCAGAACGGCCAAGUGAUACUGCUGUGCUAGAGUGCAGAAGGGGCAAUCGGAAUUCUUGGUGUAGCGGUGAAAUGCGUAGAUAUCAAGAGGAACACCUGAGGUGAAGACGGGUUGCUGGGCUGACACUGACGCUGAGGCGCGAAAGCCAGGGGAGCAAACGGG
Molecule: ribosomal RNA, 253 nt
Filed under: uncultured bacterium
Lineage: Bacteria
Description: partial 16S ribosomal RNA
Rfam family: Bacterial small subunit ribosomal RNA
Source: RNAcentral